GAUGAAGAACGCAGCGAAACGCGAUAUGUAAUGUGAAUUGCAGAAUUCAGUGAAUCAUCGAAUCUUUGAACGCACAUGGCGCCUUCCAGUAUCCUGCGAGGCAUGCCUGUCCGAGCGUCGUUUCAACCCUCGAGCCCCCGUGGCCCGGCGUUGGGGAUCUGCCCAGGCAGUCCCCGAAAACCAGUGGCGGACCCGUUACAGGCCCUUCCCUUGCGUAGUAGCAUUCGCCUCGCAUCGGGAGCCGGCGGGCUUCCAGCCUCUAAACCCCCAUCAAGUCCGCCCCGGCGGCACCAAGGUUGACCUCGGAUCAGGUAGGAAUACCCGCUGAACUUAAGCAUAUCAAUAAGCGGAGGA
RNAcentral lists this unclassified non-coding RNA (354 nucleotides) under soil metagenome. Its description in RNAcentral is "partial contains 5.8S ribosomal RNA, internal transcribed spacer 2, and large subunit ribosomal RNA". The stretch from base 1 to 120 matches the Rfam family "5.8S ribosomal RNA", at positions 35 to 154 of the family's 154-position model. The record is from RNAcentral.